Molecule: RNA transcript, 7468 nt
Organism: Aethalodelphis obliquidens (Pacific white-sided dolphin)
Lineage: Eukaryota; Metazoa; Chordata; Mammalia; Artiodactyla; Delphinidae
Gene: THNSL2
Gene name: threonine synthase like 2
Exons: 11
Source: RefSeq, a predicted model, not a curated record
CGAUUCCGGGGCGGGGAUUGGGGUUCCGCCCCCCCGCGAGCGGGCGCCCCAGCUGCCGAGCCUCCAGCACGAGCGCGCCGGCCCCCGGUCCCCUUUCCGGGUCCUCUUCCGGCGAUCGCGGCACCCUCUCCGGGGUAAUCGGUAGCGAGACUUUUGAGCUCUGGAACUUUCGCUCAACCCGAUUUCAGCGUGGCUGGAUCGGCCUCCCUAACCCCUUUCUUCAGUUUCUAGUUCGGGCGCUGCGACUUGGAGGAACCUGGGAGGGUUGAGGGUUCCCGAUGCUUUGCACUUUUGGCAGGAUUUCUGCAAUUCUCAGAGAGCCCCGACACUGAGAAGUCUGCGGGGUUUUCAGAGGCUGGGAGUGGAGCCUUAUCCCUAAGACCUUAUCAAAACCGUCUUGGCCCAAGACCAGGCCAGCCGGAGGACUGGUGCCCAGUGACCUUGGAGAGGCCGGCGCCUGCCGUGGGCGUAUCGGGGCCUCCACCCCAGGGACCGCAGUACGAGGCCUCCAGGAUCAUGUGGUACGUCAGUACUCGGGGGAUGGCCCCACGCGUUGACUUUGAAGGGGCCCUUUUCUCUGGCUAUGCUCCGGAUGGGGGCCUCUACAUGCCCGAGAAGCUGCCUCAGCUGGACAGAGACACCCUGCGUCAGUGGAGUGUGGCCUCCUACCCCAGCCUGGUGAAGGAGCUGUGUAGCCUCUUCAUUGGCCCCGAGCUCAUUCCAAGAGAUGACUUAAAUGAUCUGAUCGACCGAGCCUUCAGCAGAUUCCGACACAAAGAGGUGGUCCAUCUAUCCAGACUGAGGAAUGGGCUGAACGUGCUGGAGCUGUGGCAUGGGGUCACCUACGCGUUUAAGGACCUGUCCCUGUGCUGCACAGCACAGUUCCUGCAGUACUUCCUGGAGAAGAGGAAGAAACACAUCACCGUGGUUGUAGGAACUUCUGGGGACACAGGGAGUGCUGCUAUUGAGAGUGUUCAGGGGGCAGAGAACGUGGACAUCAUUGUUCUGCUGCCCAAAGGUCGCUGCACAAAGAUUCAGGAGCUCCAGAUGACGACAGUGCUGAGAGAGAAUGUCCACGUGUUUGGAGUGGAGGGGAACAGCGAUGAGCUGGACGAGCCCAUCAAGGCCGUGUUUGCCGACGUGGCCUUUGUCAAGGAGCACAGUCUGAUGAGUCUGAAUUCCAUCAACUGGUCCCGGGUCCUCGUGCAAAUGGCCCACCACUUCUUCGCUUAUUUCCGGUGUGCACCAACCUUAGACUUGCACCCACUGCCCCCCGUGGAGGUGGUUGUACCAUCGGGGGGUGCCGGUAGCCUCGCAGCUGGGUUCAUCGCUCAGAAGAUGGGCCUGCCCAUCCACCUGGUCGUGGCAGUGAACUCCAAUGACAUCAUCCACAGGACCGUCCAGCGGGGAGACUUCUCUCUGUCUGAGGCCGUCAAACCAACCUUGGCAUCAGCUAUGGACAUUCAGGUGCCAUACAACAUGGAGAGGAUCUUCUGGCUGCUCUCUGGCUCUGACAGCCAGGUGACGAGAGCCCUCAUGGAGCAGUUUGAAAGGACCCGAGGUGUGAGUCUACCCAAGGAAUUGCACAGCAAGCUUUCAGAGGCAGUAAUUUCUCAGUCAGUGUCAGACGAGGCCAUCACCCAGACCAUGGGCCGCUGCUGGGAAGAGAACCAGUACUUGCUGUGCCCUCACUCGGCCGUGGCUGUGAGCUACCAUUACCAGCAGGUGGACAGGAGGCAGCCCAGCCCUCCCCGCUGUUGUCUGGCUCCCGCCUCUGCAGCCAAGUUCCCGGAGGCCGUGCUGGCUGCCGGGCUGACCCCGGAGACUCCCGCGGAGAUCCUCGCCCUGGAGCACAAGGAGGCGCACUGUACCCCGAUGCGGAAGGGUGACGACUGGACGCGGAUGCUUCGGGACCUGAUUGAGGACCUGAGCCGGCAGCGGCGGGGGCGCUUCCGGAACGCGCCGGCAUAGCCAGGCUUCCUUUAGGCUUCGGACCCUGGGAGGUGUCCCCUCUGAGCUGCCUGGUGCACUUUCUCCCCAUGCAGGUGCAGGAGUUUCUCAGGGGGCUGCCCAUCUGGGUCUGGAGCCAGUGUGCUGUGCGCUGUUCCCUGGCUGCUCUGUGCUCUCACCGUGGCUGGCUGGCCGUGUUGGGCCUGGUCACCGGGGAGGCGGGGAGGGAGUCGUGGAUGAUUGCUGGGGGUGCACCCCCAGGGCCAGACAGUGCAGGAACAUCACUGCUUCCUGUGAAACUUUCAGGGCCUGCAAAUGAAAGGUCUGGGGCUCAGGGGCAACCUUGGCUCCAAGAUUUUGGACCCCCAGAUCCUAAAACCUGUGCAGGUGGGGCCCGCUGCCUCCAUUACCACAGGUCUGGCUCUGAGCCUUAGUUUAUCUGGUCCCCAGGUCAGAUCCAGACGUCUUGGCCACAGGGCUUCCACCCUGUCAAACGUUGGGAAUCCCUGGAAUAAAAGUGCAGGUUCAGUGCGAUGGUGACUCUGCGUGCCCUGUGGGCAGAGCCUGGUGCCUGUCAGGUGGUGAUGGUGGUACCAUGGUGUCCCUCAUCCAUCUGCUGCCCCAGGUUGCCAGCAGGGCAGGUGGCACAGGAGCUGGGGUUCAGGAUCACCAGAUCCAGGCCAUGUAGGAAAGCAGGAGCCUCAAACUAGGUCAAGUUGCCCUGUUGCUCAUGUACCAGGUUCACCAUCCUUAUUAAACCAAGUCAUGAUCAUAGCAGCGAGAAGCAAUGGUCCCUCUUUAAACACUAAAUAAAGUCCAAAUGCCUACAUUUCCACAGGUACCUCCAUAAUCACGCUGCUUCAGAGAAGUCAAGUUGUUCUUUCCACUGAAGACACGACUGACACUCUCCCUUCUCCACGCCUUUGACCCUACACUUGCCUCUGGGAGACUGUCCUUCUUUGAUGAACCCACAAGUCCCAUCUCACAGGCUAUUUGUCUUGGUUCCUGGUACUUGUUUACCGUGUCUUGUUGACUCGUCAUCGCAGCUGGAAAUAAGGACUCCUGUUUCCUAACUCUGGCAGAACUCCAGCUGUAGCUUCCUUAAGCUGUGUAUUCCCUUCUGCCCUGUUUUAUGGUUAUCCACUUGAGACAUUAUCUUCCUGUCUCUAAGCUCCUUGAAGAUAGGAACAAUUGUUUAAUGCAAGGGCUAAAACUUUUUGGAUUUGCCCCUAUUGAUUAAAAAUCUUUUAAUAUGUUCUCCCAACAUAUGUGUACUAAAUUAUGUAUAAACUACACAAACCGUGAGCUAAAAUAGACGUGAAGGAAUAAUAACAACACCUAUAUUUAUCUUUUCUCCCCAUUCUCCAGUGGAUCGCCUGUGGGCCUGUCUUUGGCAGUCCUGGUUGAACACAGUGCCUGGUACAUUCCAGAACCAGCAGGAACCAGGGGCGUAGCUCCCCUGUGAUUGCACAUCUGCCAGAUACUGUGCGAUGACUCUCAAAGUGUGGUCCCUGGGUUUAUCCAAAAUACACUGUCCUGGCCCCUACCCCAGACCUUCAAAGGCAAAUCUGUGGGCGUGCGUGCGCCAUCUUCAGUCCUUACAAAUGCCCCAAGGACGUUUAAAGUCAUAUAUGUGGUUCGCCUUUGUCUCACGUUGUAUUUCUACGGACAGCAGUGAUCUAGGCUUUGGGUACACAUGAACACACGGCAGAUAGUUGUGGAUUUAGUUAUACUACUGGGUUCAAAUCUCAUGUAGAUUGAGGGAGGGGGUUAGACAAACGCAAACAUGUGUACGUCAACACAAGCCUGAGGCUCUGGUCUCUGGGGGCCCCUCUGGAAGGCAGUUAAGGCAGGCACAGCGUGGAGGUAUUUUUGGCCACUAGAGGGCGCUGUUACUACCACUCUGAGGUGUGAAAGGAGCCAGUGGGCAUCUGGCCUCCAACGCUGCCUUUCCCGGCCCCCGAAGUCUAAAGGAGCUUCUGGGCCACCCAGCUUGAUCUCUGCCUGCUACCUCCACAUCGGAACCACUAGCCCCGCAUCUACUUGAUGCCCAGGGGCUGAAAGGAGAGGCCGGAGGGCAUCCUCUUACUGGAAAACUUGACAUCGAAGCAUGGCAUUCAGUACCUAGACGGCAGGAAUGCUGGACGCACAGGAGGAUGGGCGAGCAUUCCUAAGGGAAUGACCGUGACCCUUACAGCCGUCAGCACCUGACAGUUUCCGAGACACUUUAACAUCCACAAGAGCAUACCUGAUGGAGCCCCCAGGACCCAUUUAUCUAUUAGGCAAGACCAGGCUGAUACUUCGGGGUCAUGAGAUACUUAGAGGCCCGUGAAAAUAUUUUUAUUUCUAUCAAAAGAAACAAUGAAUAUAAUCCGGCUUGGAUUAUAUUCAUCUUUAUACCAACAGUUUAGUAAAAAAAGAACUUUAAAUAUUUUUUGUAGAAGAACCCCUUGAAAGCAAAAGUGCCUGGAGCCCACGAACGUCAUAAUGCGGCACUCAGAGGACCCGCUCUCUACGCCAGGUAAUACUUCACCAGAAUCAACUAAUUUAAUGGUGACAAGCAAGCUGUGAAAUACGUGUUACUACCAUCUAUGUUUUAGAGAUGAGGUAACCUGUCAGGGUGGUACUGCAAGGGAGCAGAGGGGCUGGGACUUGAACCCAGGCAUGUGGCUUCAAGUCUGACGUGUACUUUCAUCUUAUCAUGUUGCAUGGAGCUGGUCCAUUCUGCUGUGGCCCGCCACUCUCCAUCCUGCCCCAGGCCGUGACCCUUCCGCGGGGUCCUCUUCCACCCUCCCUUUCACGGGUGGAUUUGGGAGCGUGGCUAUGAUGCUCCAGGAGGUCCACCAGGGGCUGCUGCAAACCUGCUUCCCAGGUCUCUGCACGGGCCCUGGCACCCACCUGCUGCAUGCGGCCAGAGCCAGUGGUUCCUUAUUCUUUGCUGCCGCAUUUCUGAGGGUCUCAGGGCAGUGCUGGGAGUUACAGGGGGUCACAAAACCCUUCACCUUCUGGAGGCUUCGGAGUGAUAUCCAACUCUGAGAGCCCACUGCACCUGUGAGAGGAGACCCAGAAUAAAGCCAUUGGACACAGCACAAACAGACAUGAAACAUGAACUACAAGAUAUUCUGGGCACAGGGAAUCUUAGGGCUGAAUGGAGGAGAGGACAGGAAUGAGAUGAAGUCUGAAGAAACAUCCACCCCUGUGAACAUAUACACAGGCACACAAACACAGACAGACACACACACACACAUAGAAAUACAUACCUACAUACACACUCAUCCCCCUCAAUGGAAAAAGCAAGGAUCCUGGUACCAAUUGAAAUUAGAAUCAGGUUGAAGUUGUCCUUCUGAGUCGUCCGCUAACUGGCGGUGUGACCACACACAAGCCAUUUCAUCUCUGUGAGCCUCAGUUUCCUCAUCUGCUCAUUGUAACACUUACCUCGCUAGUUUAUUUUGAGGAUUGAGAUCAUGUAUUUCCAAUUCCUAGGUAAAUGCUAAAAUGCCAUACAAGUGCUUCUUACUAACAUAAUUUAGUCUGCAGUGAACAGUUUAGUACUUUUAAGCUAUCUUGCAUUUUUUACUAAUUGCUUCCCGGAUUCGUCUUCUCUUGCCUCUUCCUGAAGGAUGAAGUUCCUUCGUGGCCCUGCGGUGCUGGGACAGCUCUGGGUGCAGGGUUGGAGUUGCCCUGGCCUGCUCAGUGCACCCAGCGACAAGCCCUGUGGGGGUCAUUUGGGGGUUGAAUGUCAUGGAUUAGUCAGUAGGGGCUCUGCUGGGCAGUUAACAAGCCUCAUUAAUUUGCAGUGAUGAGGAUGGUGGGAUGAUUCCCUUUCCUGAGCACUCAUGAUGGGCUGAGCCCUUUGUGAAGCACGUUCCAGACAUUGGCUCCUUCAGUCCUCACAAGGACUGUAUGAGAAAGUACCAUUAGGGGCUCCAUUCUAGAGAUGAGGAAAUGAAGCUCAGAGAGGUUAAGUAAUUUGCCCAAGGCCACCCAGCCAGUGAGUCCUGGAGGAAGGAUGUGAGGCUGAGUUAACCUCAGAGCUAGACUAGGAGAGGAACUUUGGGCCCGAUGGCUUCCAAGUUUUCUUCAAUCAGAGUCUGCGAGCUCGAUGGGGAGUGGGCUGCGUCUGAGGGUGGAGGAGAAGAGAAGAGGACCCAUCACUAGGAGACGGGCCAUCUGGGGAGAGGGGCACAGAGCCAGUGCCUUUGCAGGGAGCUCUCCUCUGGCUCAGGCUCCCUCUUGGAGCUGGGUUCCUCUCGGGGAUGCUGGAAGCUGGGUUCCUCGCCGGGAUGCUGGUGUCUGCUGAGUGGAUUGGGUAUGGUUAUGGGACAAGAGGGAGGUGAGAGUAAUUCUGUGGGAUUGUCAGCUGCUGGCAGGGAGGCCCAGCCUGGUGGUUCCCACUGGAAAGACUCAAACUUAGAUGGAUGAAGUCGGGGAGCCUUUGUUGAGUUUUCUGUGUCCCCAAAUAAAUAACGGGUGAGCAACACAGGAAGGGCUGGGCUAUUAGCCUCCUGGAAAGAGGAGAGGGCCAACUUCUCUGUCCUGCUCACUGCCUCUGUCCAAAAAAGCAUCUCCCCAGAACUCCCUUUCAGGCCCAACCCAUCAGUUUAUCCAUUCCACAACCUGGGCAUCUCCCAGGUGCCAGCUGGGCAAAUGCUGAAGGCCACUGUGCUGACUGCCUACCAAGUGCUGGGGAGAGAGAAAAAGUAGGAAAAGAUGGGGCUGGAGUUGACUUAUGCAGAAGGAUAAAAGUUUGUGGCAGCACCCAGGGGCUGUCCCAAGGCUGUGAGGGACUGGUUACUGGUUCUCCAGGGCAGGAGCCCAGGCAGUCCCCCUGCGGCCCCCUCCCGCACUGACCCUCAGUGUUGCAGUGAUUGGUUUAGAGCCUGCUCCCCCGCUACUUAAACAGUCUUUAAAGGCUGCUGUCAAAUACCCCAUAAGCCAGGACCUGGCGUCCACACCUAGCCUUCACUGAGUAUGGAACAGAACAGGCGGGAGGAACUGCAGGGCCCAGAGGAGGAAAGGUGACUGGGCAGGAGAGGGUGGGGCUGGAGUGAAGAAGGCUGGGCUGGGUCUCCAAGGGUCUGCUAGGUACCAAGGGGAUGCUCCUCGGUUCAGGACUGUUCCCUUCUCCUCUUCAAUGGUUUAGCCAUCACAAGGAUCUAUUAUAAGAAGGCAAGGGACCUCCUGUUGCAGCAGAAGUGUCUGUGCACUUGCUCCUUGGGGAGGGGACCUUCUUUUCUCUGAAUGAAUGCGCAGGCCUUAAGUCACCAAGGCCAAGGUCCUGUAACAGGUGCAGAGCCAAGAACUGAGGCAGGGCUCUGCAUGGCUUAGGCCAGGGUGAAGCCCCUGGAGCCUCCCCUUGGUUAAGCUGCUAGGGGGACCUAUUGAAUGUCACCUCUCCAGCCUCCCCUUGGUCUCCUAAGUCGCUGGAAUCACUGGCUUCCACCAUCCCUGAUCCAGACCUCAUCCCCAAGCAGGGAUAGCGCUUGUUUAUAAAACGGAUGCAGUUUAGGUCUUGAGG